GACGAACGCUGGCGGCGUGCCUAAUACAUGCAAGUAGAACGCACAGUUUAUACCGUAGCUUGCUACACCAUAAACUGUGAGUUGCGAACGGGUGAGUAACGCGUAGGUAACCUGCCUGGUAGCGGGGGAUAACUAUUGGAAACGAUAGCUAAUACCGCAUAAUAUUGAUUAUUGCAUGAUAAUUGAUUGAAAGAUGCUAUUGCAUCACUACCAGAUGGACCUGCGUUGUAUUAGCUAGUAGGUGAGGUAACGGCUCACCUAGGCGACGAUACAUAGCCGACCUGAGAGGGUGAGCGGCCACACUGGGACGGAGACACGGCCCAGACUCCUACGGGAGGCAGCAGUAGGGAAUCUUCGGCAAUGGACGAAAGUCUGACCGAGCAACGCCGCGUGAGUGAAGAAGGUUUUCGGAUCGUAAAGCUCUGUUGUAAGAGAAGAACGGGUGUGAGAGUGGAAAGUUCACACUGUGACGGUAUCUGACCAGAAAGGGACGGCUAACUACGUG
RNAcentral lists this ribosomal RNA (505 nucleotides) under uncultured bacterium. Its description in RNAcentral is "partial 16S ribosomal RNA". It matches the Rfam family "Bacterial small subunit ribosomal RNA", at positions 28 to 507 of the family's 1533-position model. The record is from RNAcentral.